Molecule: transfer RNA, 73 nt
Filed under: Myotis lucifugus (little brown bat)
Lineage: Eukaryota; Metazoa; Chordata; Mammalia; Chiroptera; Vespertilionidae
Rfam family: tRNA
About the family: Transfer RNA (tRNA) molecules are approximately 80 nucleotides in length.
Source: Rfam by way of RNAcentral
GCCAAUGUGGCUCAGUAGAUAGAGCACUGGCCUGUGAAACAAAGGGUCCCAGGUUCAAUUCCGGUCAAGGGCA